RNAcentral lists this transfer RNA (33 nucleotides) under Crotaphytus bicinctores. RNAcentral describes it as "partial tRNA-Met". The record is from RNAcentral. Lineage: Eukaryota; Metazoa; Chordata; Lepidosauria; Squamata; Crotaphytidae.
CCGAAAAUGUGGGUUUAAAUCCCUCCUAUACUA